CCCAUGGGGGUCGACCCUUCCAUGGCUCUUUGAUAUUAAGAAUCAACUUGCAGACCAGGUGCGGUGGCUCGUGCCUGUAAUCCCAGCACUUUGGGAGGCCAAGGUGGGCAGAUUGCCUGAGCUCAGGAGUUCAAGACCAGCCUGGGCAACACGGUCCGUGGGCUGCUGGACACCCUGGUGACCGACCUGAUGGUCCUGGCUGAUGAGCUCAGCCCCAUAAAGAAUGUCGAGGAGGCUUUGCGCCUCUGCAGGUGACUCUCGGGCCCAAGCAACCUUCUGGAAAACAGGUUAAUAAAUAAAUCAACAAAGAACCUUCAAGUUUCUACUA
RNAcentral lists this small RNA (328 nucleotides) under Pongo abelii (Sumatran orangutan). Its description in RNAcentral is "retained intron". Lineage: Eukaryota; Metazoa; Chordata; Mammalia; Primates; Hominidae. The record is from RNAcentral.